RNAcentral lists this ribosomal RNA (974 nucleotides) under uncultured archaeon SYA-74. RNAcentral describes it as "bacterial SSU rRNA". It matches the Rfam family "Archaeal small subunit ribosomal RNA", at positions 23 to 1038 of the family's 1478-position model. The record is from RNAcentral.
GUUACUGCUAUCGAGGUUCGACUAAGCCAUGCGAGUCGAAUGUAGCAAUACAUGGCGUACUGCUCAGUAACACGUGGAUAACCUACCCUUGAGUUGGGAAUAAACCCGGGAAACUGGGUAUAAUACCCGAUAGAUCUCGACUGCUGGAAUGCAUCGAGAUCCAAAGCUCCGGCGCUCAAGGAUGGAUCUGCGGCCUAUCAGGUAGUAGUGGGUGUAGCGUACCUACUAGCCUACGACGGGUACGGGUUGUGAGAGCAAGAGCCCGGAGAUGGAUUCUGAGACACGAAUCCAGGCCCUACGGGGUGCAGCAGGCGCGAAAACUUUACAAUGCUGGAAACAGCGAUAAGGGGACCUCGAGUGCAGGUACAAUCUGCUGUCGUAUGCUAAAACAUUCAUACAAGGCCGGCAAGCCGGUCCACCGCCGCGGUACACGGCGCUCGAGUGGUACCGUUAUUAUUGGUCUAAGGUCUGUACCGGCCGGAUAAGUCUCUUGGAAAUCUGCAGCUUACUGUCAGGCUUUCAGAGAUACUGUCUGGCUGAGCCGGAAAGGUAGAGGUACUUCAGGGGUAGGGGUAAAUCUUGUAAUCCUUAAGGACCACCAGUGCGAAGGCGUCUCACCAGAACGGACCUGACGGCAAGGGACGAAAGCUAGGGGCACGAACCGGAUUAGAUACCCGGGUAGUCCUAGCCGUAAACGAUACUCGCUAGGUGUCGCAACGGUGCGACCGUUGUCGGUGCCGUAGGGAAGCCGUGAAGCGAGCCACCUGGGAAGUACGGCCGCAAGGCUGAAACUUAAAGGAAUUGCGGGGGAGCACCACAACGGGUGGAGCUUGCGGUUUAAUUGGAUUCAGCGCCGGAAAUCUUACCGGGACCGACAGCAAUAUGAAGGCCAGGCUGAAGACUUUGCCGGAUUAGCUGAGAGGUGGUGCAUGGCCGUCGUCAGUUCGUACUGUGAAGCAUCCUGUUAAGUCAGG